RNAcentral lists this ribosomal RNA (511 nucleotides) under uncultured bacterium. Its description in RNAcentral is "bacterial SSU rRNA". It matches the Rfam family "Bacterial small subunit ribosomal RNA", at positions 8 to 518 of the family's 1533-position model. The record is from RNAcentral.
AGAGUUGAUCCUGGCUUAGGAUGAACGCUAGCGGCAGGCCUAAUACAUGCAAGUCGAACGGUAAACGCCCCUCGGGGCGUGAGAGUGGCGGACGGGUGCGUAACGCGUAUGCAACAACCCCCCUCACCGGGAUAGCCGGUGGAAACGCCGGAUAAGACCGGAUGCGCCGCGUGGGAGGCAUCUCCCGAGCGGCAAGGCGGCGACGCGGAGGGGACGGGCAUGCGUGCCAUUAGCUUGUUGGCGGGGCGACGGCCCACCAAGGCUACGAUGGCUAGGGGAUCUGAGAGGACGGUCCCCCCACACUGGUACUGAGACACGGACCAGACUCCUGCGGGAGGCAGCAGUAAGGGAUAUUGGUCAGUGGGGGAAACCCUGAACCAGCCAUGCCGCGUGAGGGAAUGAGGCCCUACGGGUCGUGAACCUCUUUUGCCUGGGGACAACCCGCGCCACGGGAUGGCGCGUUGAGGGUACCAGGCGAAUAAGCAUCGGCUAACUCCGUGCCAGCCGCCGC